Alosa sapidissima (American shad) is the source of this 1911-nucleotide long non-coding RNA. RefSeq lists it as uncharacterized. The transcript is spliced from 8 exons. NCBI's taxonomy places the organism in Eukaryota, Metazoa, Chordata, Actinopteri, Clupeiformes, Clupeidae. The record is from RefSeq and is a predicted model, not a curated record.
UGCCUCUGCUCUGCGUAAAGGGGGAUUAUGACCCCCCCUUGUGCGAUCCGGGUUCCCGGAAGUGGCUCCUGAUGAAAUAUCUUGCUCCGCCUUAAUAAUCUUUGUAUUUAGUACAUCUGUAUAGCUAACACUACGGCUCUGGUGUCUGUAAGACAAUACAGGCAUCUAAAAGAGGAUGGAACUCACUAACACUACAAUAUGUACUUAAUGUCUCUAUGUCUUAUUUUUCAUUUUAGAUGAAGAUGUCUGUCAAUGGCUUCAGUCCAUCAAUUUAAUUGAUGGCAAAAAGAUAGUAUCCAUUACCUUUGACUAUCUUUAAGUGUCCAAUUUGUGAUGUAAAGUUUUACCUUGCCAAAUAUUUGCAACAUCUACAGCUACUUCAUCAGCAUCUUCCUGAUUUCUGCAUUGUUUGCAUUAUUUUUAAUGUAAUUAAAGUCUAUUGUCAUACUUGCAUUAACAGAACAGCAAAUUAAUGGGGAGACUGCUGGGGUUGACAGAGGGGAUGGUUGAACAACUGUUUCCUCUGAUGAAACACAGUCUUGUUUUUGAGAGGUGGAAAAGUUACGCAAAUCAUCGUUGGUUCAGUACCCAAACCAUAAAAAAUACACUGAUGUCCUGUGGUGUCUGAUCACUAGAUAUCCAUUUCUUAAUGACCACAGCUAAUCUGGUUAUGAGACCCUGCUGGAGUGUCUUAGGAAUAAGUUCAAAAAGGAAAGGUCUCCUUUGCUAAACCUGACGACGGUGCAGGAGAUUAAGAGAAAGUUUGGUGUCAGAAGACAAAGAUUUGUGGACCAUGUGCCUCUGGAGGACCCACCUGGACAUCAGAGAGCAAAAAAGUACAGAGUGGGGGUCCAGAUGUCUUCUGAUUACGAGCCAACACAAGAGAUUAUGUUGGACCUUGAAGCAGUUGGGGAGGACUACCACAGCUUUCAAGAGCAUAUAAACGCCAUAAAACAAUUAGUUGUGCCGUCGUCAGCCAGAUAUUAGUCAUAUAAUGGACAGGAUGAGGCAAACUGUCUAUAAGAGGGUAGAGCAAAUGGGAAAGCAACUGAGGAGGUGAUGGAGAUGUUCCAAUUUCUUUGGGUGCCAGAGCUGAUGCAUCAUGAAAUGAAGUUGCGGUUUGGACUGGACUUAAAGCUAAGCCUGCAUAACACCAUCAGUAUAUUGACCCCUAACGUCAUCAGAGUGGCUGACAGUGGGAGUCGGAGGGAGAGGCCUACGAGAUACUAACACAGAUGACCUUCAAAAAAGUGCCUGCUGUCCUAAUUUUGCCUGCCCUUUUUAAGGAGGAUGCCAAGUUUCUGUAUUGUUUAGACGAGGAACCACUGAGCGUGUUUCCAACCAUCAUCUUCCAGGGUGGCGAUACUCCCCUCCUUGCCAGGAGAGCAUCCAUAAAGAUGGAUGGCAUCACAAUAGCAAGUGGAGAGAUGGAUGUGCCACAUGUCCUCUAAUGCGAAUUUGUCAUUGGCCCCUCCCCUGACAUUGAUGCUUCUUUAGGCCUUGUCUGUAUUUUUUGUUUAUAUUUUCUUUUUGAUGUUCAGUACCCAAAAAAGGCCCACCACACAUUACUAUUCUUUGAAAGACGCCUUAACCUGUCUAUGUCUAAGCCCUCCACUCCAGUGUUGCGUGUGGAAAAAAUGUUAUCAGAAAGUGUGUUUUAUAAUCAUUUGAAAUUUAUUAAUUUGUAAAAAUGUAACUAUUGCUGUUUGGAGCGUAUUUAUGACACAUUUUUUAUGCAAGUAAUAUAGAAGAUAUGUUUAAGCAAUGAAUAUGUAAAUUAAUGUAAAUAUGUAUCUAUUGUUGUUUUGAGUGUCUUAUGACACACAUUUUUUGCGAUUAAUAUAAAAGAUAUGCUAAAGCAAUGAAUAUGUAAAUGAAUGUAGAAAUACUGAAUACAGUACUUGAAUGAUA